Molecule: ribosomal RNA, 253 nt
Filed under: uncultured bacterium
Lineage: Bacteria
Description: partial 16S ribosomal RNA
Rfam family: Bacterial small subunit ribosomal RNA
Source: RNAcentral
UACGUAGGGUGCGAGCGUUAAUCGGAAUUACUGGGCGUAAAGCGUGCGUAGGCGGUUCGUUAAGUUCGUUGUGAAAGCCCCGGGCUCAACCUGGGAAUGGCAAUGGAAACUGGCGGGCUGGAGUAUGGCAGAGGGGGGUGAAAUUCCGCGUGUAGCAGUGAAAUGCGUAGAGAUGCGGAGGAACACCGAUGGCGAAGGCAGCCCCCUGGGCCAAUACUGACGCUCAGGCACGAAAGCGUGGGGAGCAAACAGG